RNAcentral lists this ribosomal RNA (497 nucleotides) under uncultured bacterium. RNAcentral describes it as "partial 16S ribosomal RNA". It matches the Rfam family "Bacterial small subunit ribosomal RNA", at positions 28 to 507 of the family's 1533-position model. The record is from RNAcentral.
GAUGAACGCUGGCGGCGUGCCUAGUACAUGCAAGUCGAGCGAACGGACGAGAAGCUUGCUUCUCUGAUGUUAGCGGCGGACGGGUGAGUAACACGUGGAUAACCUACCUAUAAGACUGGGAUAACUUCGGGAAACCGGAGCUAAUACCGGAUGAUAUUUUGAACCGCAUGGUUCAAAAGUGAAAGACGGUCUUGCUGUCACUUAUAGAUGGAUCCGCGCUGCAUUAGCUAGUUGGUAAGGUAACGGCUUACCAAGGCAACGAUGCAUAGCCGACCUGAGAGGGUGAUCGGCCACACUGGAACUGAGACACGGUCCAGACUCCUACGGGAGGCAGCAGUAGGGAAUCUUCCUCAAUGGGCGAAAGCCUGACGGAGCAACGCCGCGUGAGUGAUGAAGGUCUUCGGAUCGUAAAACUCUGUUAUUAGGGAAGAACAUAUGUGUAAGUAACUGUGCACAUCUUGACGGUACCUAAUCAGAAAGCCACGGCUAACUACGUG